RNAcentral lists this ribosomal RNA (475 nucleotides) under uncultured organism. Its description in RNAcentral is "partial 16S ribosomal RNA". It matches the Rfam family "Bacterial small subunit ribosomal RNA", at positions 330 to 797 of the family's 1533-position model. The record is from RNAcentral.
CGUACACUCCUACGGGAGGCAGCAGUGGGGAAUAUUGCACAAUGGGCGCAAGCCUGAUGCAGCCAUGCCGCGUGUAUGAAGAAGGCCUUCGGGUUGUAAAGUACUUUCAGCGGGGAGGAAGGCAAUACGGUUAAUAACCGUGUUGAUUGACGUUACCCGCAGAAGAAGCACCGGCUAACUCCGUGCCAGCAGCCGCGGUAAUACGGAGGGUGCAAGCGUUAAUCGGAAUUACUGGGCGUAAAGCGCACGCAGGCGGUCUGUCAAGUCGGAUGUGAAAUCCCCGGGCUCAACCUGGGAACUGCAUUCGAAACUGGCAGGCUUGAGUCUUGUAGAGGGGGGUAGAAUUCCAGGUGUAGCGGUGAAAUGCGUAGAGAUCUGGAGGAAUACCGGUGGCGAAGGCGGCCCCCUGGACAAAGACUGACGCUCAGGUGCGAAAGCGUGGGGAGCAAACAGGAUUAGAUACCCCAGUAGUCCC